Mus musculus (house mouse) is the source of this 3997-nucleotide long non-coding RNA. RefSeq annotates it as RIKEN cDNA B230369F24 gene. NCBI's taxonomy places the organism in Eukaryota, Metazoa, Chordata, Mammalia, Rodentia, Muridae. The transcript has a single exon. The record is from RefSeq and is a predicted model, not a curated record.
AACUGUUAUCUUGACAGUUUGGGAUACUCUACUGAAAUUCUUGGCUAGCCAGGCUUUGAAUUUUUGUCUGGAAGGUAAUAUUUAAGGUUGUAAUAUUCCAUAAAGGAGAGAGGAAUUCUUUUGCAUUCCUAAUUGCGGUAUAAAGGACGUAACGGGAAAAAUACCGAGGAAAUGGCGUUACCGUUUUACUUGUGACUGAGACGUUGCUAGAGUAUACUGAGUUGGAGUCCAUUUCACUUGUUUGAAAAAUGUCAUGGAUUCGAUAAAGUUUCUUAAUUUAACGAAAAUAGAAUAUUUUUCAGUUUUGUCUUUUAACAGUUAAUAAUGAAAAGUAACAAGCUCACCCUUCUCCUUCUCCCUGAAGGUGUGGAUGAAAGAAAACGACUUUGAAGAGAAUAGAGUUUAUUCUGUAGUAAAAUGUAAAUGAUCAUGACCCAAGGACAGGAUUCAAACUGCCCCCAAACCAUAUUCAACAUAAAAGUGUUACAGUCUUAUGAGUUUUAUAUGGUAACAAAAGAGAUAAGACACUUCAGUUUAUGGAAUGUCUCUGGCUAUUGGCCUUAGAUUUCAUCUGAUGACAUUCUCAGUCUUUGGGAUUGGUGGAAGUUAGUGUUCUGUUUAUACAUUCCAGAAGGACAGUCACAAGGAUAGAUGCUAAGCUAUACAUAGAAGUGGGCAAUGAAUGGCUAUUAAGGAGGCCAAGGAUAGCCUAAGAUAAUUUAGCUCCAGGCUUGCAGCAUUCCAGGUCUCUCCUGUCACAGUAGAAUCAGCCUUGUAGAAUUUUUAACUAAGGAUUGGGGUGAGUGGUUGUGUGGUUUCCCCCUCAUAGGAACUAUAGUUAACAAAGGAGUUAACUGUUGUGUUCUUCCAAUCUGUUUUCCUUCUCUUAAUUAAAAUUAUUAUGCAAAUACAUUUUGGAGUCAUUUAAAAUAACAUUAGAUGCAGAUGUGUUGGCUCUGACCUAAAAGCCCAGCAUUCUGGUUGAAAGAGUAGGUUUCUUGUGACUUCAAGGCCAGCUACAAAGUGAGGCUCUGUCUCACAAAAAACUGAUAAUAACAAUGGAGGGUUUGAAGGUAUAGCUCAGUGGGUAAAGAGUACCCAAGGCCUUGUUUUUGAUUUGAUACCCAGAACUGUUAAUAUAUGCACAAAAAAAUUUUAAAACCUACCAGAAUACAUGGAUACAUGGAGUAAAAACUAAAGCCUCCAAUCUCCUAUAAACAUCUUUUUUACAUUAACCUGAUAUGACCGAAGUGGGCCUGCUGCACCAGCGGCACUGUUUUCUACCUUUGGUUAUUCUUGACCUGUGUGUGUGUGUCUGUAAGCACCUGGAGGUCUACUCCCUUCAAUGGCUGCACAGUGUCCCCUUAAGCUUUUUGCUGCUGAAUGACGUUUCUUUAGAAAGCUGCACAUUUUUCUACUAAUCCAAACCCAAAAAAACGUCAGCAAACAUCUUUGAGCACACGCUAAAGAUUUUCUGUAGAACACAUUUCAAGAUGAGGAAGCUGGCUCAAAAGCCUUGGACACGUUGUUAGGUCCUGCUGUUGUCCUCUCAAAAAUGUUGCCCUUGUGAUUCCCAUGAAUAAGCAUGAGAGUGACUUUCCUCACUGAUUUUUAGAAUCACCUUUUGUAAUGUUUGAUAGUUUCUGGAUCUGAUGGAAGAAUUUAAACUUCCCUAUUACCAGAAUAAUUGAGUACUCUUUCAAGUGCUACUUUGUGCUUUAAUCUUUUUAUUACCUUUAAGUGUGUGGGUGUGUUCUACAGUUUAGGUGUGGAGAUGAGAAGAUAACUUGCAAGGGCCCUUCUGUCCUGUUAUAGGGUAUCUGAAGAGAACAGCCCAAGACCUGAAUAACUUGAAUGGAGUCUUUAUUUAACCUUGGGCAGGACUGCUCCAAGCGAAUUAUUGGGAAGUAUUGUGGAACUCCAGUUGGCUUGAUUUUUUUUUUUUAAUUUUUUUUUUUUUUUUUUUUUGGUUUUUUGAGACAGGGUUUCUUAGUGUAGCCCUGGCUGUCCUGGAACUCACUCUGUAGAGCAGGCUGGCCUUGAACUCAGAAAUCCGCCUGUCUCUGCCUCCCAAGUGCUGGGAUUAAAGGCGUGUGCUACCACUGCCUGGCGUGAUUUUUAUUUUUAUUUAUUAUUUUUUUAAAGAUUUAUUUAUUUAUUAUAUGUAAGUACACUGUGACACUCCAGAAGAGGGAGUCAGAUCUCAUUACGGAUGGUUGUGAGCCACCAUGUGGUUGCUGGGAUUUGAACUCCAGAGCUUCGGAAGAGCAGUCAGGUGCUCUUACCCACUGAGCCAUCUCACCAGCCCCAUGAUUUUUAUUUUUUAAGGGGGAAAAAAUGCAAUUGUGACAUAUACAGAAAUCGAGUAUUGCUUACAGAAGUAGAGAGGUAACAGUUUAUGGUCAGGCAGGUAACAUUUAGCUCACAGCCCCAUUAUACAGGAAUUUGGGACUAGUCCAGAGACCAGUUUUAUCCAAGAUAAUUUAGCACUUAAAAGUAUUCUUAAGAAUAUUUUGUCCCUUUUCCCUUUCUGCCACGCCAUGCCAUCCAGACUGAGGAAGACCCGGAAACUCCAGGGUCACGUGAGCUGUGGCCAUGUGAGCAUAGGUAAGCACCGCUGCAAGCACCCAGGAGGCUGUGGGGAGGCUGGAGGCAUGCAUCACCACAGGAUCAACUUGACAAAUAUCAUCCAGGUUACUUUGGGAAAGUUGGUAUGAGGCACCAGAGCUCCUGCCCAACUGUCAACCUAGAUAAAUUGUGGACGUUGGUCAGCGAGCAGAUGCGGGUCAAUGUAGCAAAAAAUAAGACUGGAGCUGCUCCCAUCAUUGAUGUUCGAUCAAGUUACUACAAAGUUCUGGGCUCGGAUAGCUCCCCAAGCAACCUGUCAUCGAGAAGGCCAAAUCCUUCAGCAGAAGAGCUGAAAAGAAGAUUAAGGCUGUUGGAGGUGCCUGGGUUCUGGUGCCUUAAAAGCCAUGCUGGAGGUUAAUUAUAUGCUAACAUUUAAAAAAAAAGAAUAUUUUGAUGAGCUGUUGUAACUAUAGCUCUGUAGCCUACUACAAUUCUGCUCUGUGGACUGUAGGAAUUGAAUCUAGGUCUUUGGGCAACAAGCUGUUGAGCUGCUUCGCCACCCCCACUUAUUCCUUUCAUAAGACUCAACUUCAACAGUAAGCUUUCAUGUGCCUAAAUAAAAUGGGCUGCUUAGUGCUAGGUAGAGCCUUGCUUAGCAUGAGUGAUGUCUUGGGUUGCAUCCUCAAUACCACAAAAAUGAAUAGUAGUUAUGAUUAUUUUCUUAAUUCACAGCUUCUCUUUCUAACUCUGUAGAACAGUUUUCUUCUAAUCCAGUUGCUUUGGCAAUCGUGCUUAUGGAAUUUUCGGUUAUCAAAUAUUUAACUUUUCCUGUAGAGUCACACCUGCCAAUAUAUUCUCUCACAGUUCUUUUGAAAAAAGGGUUUAUUUACUUACUUAUUUGCAGGCAUGUGUGCUUUGUGAUGUUAAUACACAUACUGUGGUGUGUAUGUGGAAGUUGGUUCUGUCCUUGCACUAUGUGUGAACCCAGGUUACCAGGUUUGGCAGCAAGCUCCUUUACCAGCUGAGCCAUCUGGGCAGCCCUUCAGGUAGUUUUGAAUUGAUUGUGUUGCUAGAUGCCAAACUUUGGGUUUGGCAGUUAUUUAUUUAGUGGGCUUGAGAUACAUCUUCUGCUUUCGUGAAUUUGAGAGUCACUAAUAAGAGAUUUGGUGUUCUUAUGUUUCUGCCUUUGUAGCAGAUUAUCCUAUCCCCUUCCUGCUCUUGUAGCUCAGUUGACAUGUCCUCUCCUGUCCCCAGCUCCUCAUAUUAUUUCUUUGCUCUGUAUCCCUGAUAUCUUGACUGUAAUGUAUUGUGGAGAAGUUCUUUUCUAGUCAUGUUUAUUUAAGGUUCUAAGUGUAUUUCUAGAAAAAAAAUAGAUAUUCACACAGUAGAAAAUUUGUUACAAUUUCAUUGAAUAAAUCUAUGCCAUUAU